AAACUAUAUCGAAGAAAAUGAUGAAGUGUUGAUAGCUGGGUUUGGGCGAAAGGGUCAUGCUGUGGGUGAUAUUCCUGGUGUGAGGUUUAAGGUUGUGAAAGUUUCAGGUGUGUCGUUGCUGGCCCUCUUCAAGGAGAAGAAAGAGAAGCCCCGUUCUUAAGUCUUACUUACUGUGAUAUUAUCCUGAAUGUCUGCCCCAGUAGGAACUUGUUUCUUGAUAUCUUUUUCUGUGAUUUUGUUGUGUAAGAA
RNAcentral lists this unclassified non-coding RNA (249 nucleotides) under Hevea brasiliensis (rubber tree). The record is from RNAcentral. Lineage: Eukaryota; Viridiplantae; Streptophyta; Magnoliopsida; Malpighiales; Euphorbiaceae.